RNAcentral lists this ribosomal RNA (500 nucleotides) under uncultured bacterium. RNAcentral's name for it is "partial 16S ribosomal RNA". It matches the Rfam family "Bacterial small subunit ribosomal RNA", at positions 30 to 523 of the family's 1533-position model. The record is from RNAcentral.
AUUGAACGCUGGCGGAAUGCUUUACACAUGCAAGUCGAACGGCAGCACGGACUUCGGUCUGGUGGCGAGUGGCGAACGGGUGAGUAAUGUAUCGGAACGUGCCCAGUCGUGGGGGAUAACGUAGUGAAAAUUACGCUAAUACCGCAUACGAUCUAUGGAUGAAAGCGGGGGAUCGCAAGACCUCGCGCGAUUGGAGCGGCCGAUAUCAGAUUAGGUAGUUGGUGGGGUAAAGGCCCACCAAGCCAACGAUGUGUAGCUGGUCUGAGAGGACGACCAGCCACACUGGAGCUGAGACACGGUCCAGACUCCUACGGGAGGCAGCAGUGGGGAAUUUUGGACAAUGGGCGAAAGCCUGAUCCAGUCAUUCCGCGUGCAGGAUGAAGGCCCUCGGGUUGUAAACUGCUUUUGUACAGAACGAAAAGGUUUCUACUAAUACUAGGAGCUCAUGACGGUACUGUAAGAAUAAGCACCGGCUAACUACGUGCCAGCCGCCGCAGUAA